RNAcentral lists this ribosomal RNA (515 nucleotides) under uncultured Poribacteria bacterium. RNAcentral describes it as "bacterial SSU rRNA". It matches the Rfam family "Bacterial small subunit ribosomal RNA", at positions 431 to 937 of the family's 1533-position model. Lineage: Bacteria; Candidatus Poribacteria. The record is from RNAcentral.
CUCUGUGUUACGGGAUGAAUUGAGCGUUGCUGAUAACGCAGCGUUUUUGACGUUACCGUAGUAGAAAGCCCCAGCUAACUGCGUGCCAGCAGCUGCGGUAAUACGUAGGGGGCAAGCGUUGUCCGGAAUCACUGGGCGUAAAGCGCGCGCAGGCGGUGGUGUAAGUCAGACGUGAAAGGGUUCGGCUCAACCGGACCACUGCGUUUGAUACUGCAUCACUUGAGUCUAGAAGAGGAAAGUGGAAUGUAUGGUGUAGCGGUGGAAUGCUUAGAUAUCAUAUAGAACACCUGUGGCGAAGGCGGCUUUCUGGUCUAAGACUGACGCUCAUGCGCGAAAGUUUGGGGAGCAACCGGGAUUAGAUACCCCGCUAGUCCUUACUGUAAACGAUGGGUACUAAGUGUAGGGGGGUUGAUUCCCUCUGUGCUGUAGCUAACGCAUUAAGUACCCCGCCUGGGGAGUACGGCCGCAAGGUUAAAACUCAAGGUAAUUGACGGGGGGCCGCACAAGCGUUGGAG